This 85-nucleotide transfer RNA is filed under the name Flavobacteriales bacterium. RNAcentral describes it as "tRNA-Leu". It matches the Rfam family "tRNA". Rfam says of the family: Transfer RNA (tRNA) molecules are approximately 80 nucleotides in length. Their secondary structure includes four short double-helical elements and three loops (D, anti-codon, and T loops). The record is from RNAcentral. Lineage: Bacteria; Pseudomonadati; Bacteroidota; Flavobacteriia; Flavobacteriales.
GCCCAGGUGGCGGAAUUGGUAGACGCGUUGGUCUCAAACACCAAUGGUGUAAACCGUGCCGGUUCGAUCCCGGCUCUGGGCACUA